AUGGAUGGAUGGUACAGCCCAACAGGCCU
This 29-nucleotide non-coding RNA is filed under the name Rattus norvegicus (Norway rat). The record is from RNAcentral. Lineage: Eukaryota; Metazoa; Chordata; Mammalia; Rodentia; Muridae.